UUGGACCGCUGGAUCACGUGCAUAGCUGUGCUGUAAAGUUUAAAUGUACAGUUGCAUUGUGGGAUAUUUACCGGCUGGAGGCGAAUGUUCGCGGGCUAGAGAGCGGGACCAAGGAGGAUUUUCACCGGGUAAUCUUAUGUUGUGAUGUGCUACAGAGGUGUGCUACAGCUGCAGGUCUUAAAGGGACACACAACCUGCCGCCAAGUCCACAACUCAUUGCCCUCAGAGACAACAUUACCCUUCAUCAUGGAUGAUCAGCAUCGAGGGUGAAAUUGUUUGAGGGCGUUCAACCUACGUUCCAGGCUGGUCUCGCAGCACUUUUUGCCACCUUCUACGUUUUUAACCUUGAGUAUCCAGAGGAGGCAGCAUGCACACUGGAGGUUUUUCAAAGGUGAUUCACAGGCCUCAACCCUGAAAGGGGAACAAAGGCUGCAAAAGGAAAAGUAACAUCAAAAAUGACAGGACGACUCGUGCAAAAGAAAAAGACAGCAGUGAACAAACAUGUCUCCACUGUCCUCUGCAAGUUCAUGGACUACCAGAGGAACUUCUAAAAUGCCACCCUUUGAUGAGGCGUUCAGGACUAAGCCCCACUCAGCACUCAUUCAUGUUGGUUUGGUUUGGCUGUUCACGAAGUUUUAAACUAGCUCAAAUGUUAAAGAUGUUACUGUUAGAGUUCCUAUAAAGUGUUCAAAAAUAUGUAACUUCAAUAUUUGACAGUGCUGGAUUCCUUCCUUCAAAAGGAAGGGAUCCAGUUGUUUGACAGUUUGUUUGUUUUUUAGAGAUUUUGACCCUUUGGAACUUUUAUUUUAAAGGUUAUUUAACUUGUAUGUGAUGUAAUAUUACCAUGGGGGGUUAUGCAUUUAAAAAUGUAGCAGUUCAUAAUGUUUUUUGGUCAGUUCAUGUCAGUGUAUUUUUACACUUUGGUUUCUAUACUUUUUGACUUGUAUGUAA
Long non-coding RNA from Archocentrus centrarchus (flier cichlid), 951 nucleotides. RefSeq lists it as uncharacterized. The record is from RefSeq and is a predicted model, not a curated record. The transcript is spliced from 5 exons. NCBI's taxonomy places the organism in Eukaryota, Metazoa, Chordata, Actinopteri, Cichliformes, Cichlidae.